Paramacrobiotus metropolitanus is the source of this 899-nucleotide long non-coding RNA. RefSeq lists it as uncharacterized. The transcript is spliced from 4 exons. The record is from RefSeq and is a predicted model, not a curated record. NCBI's taxonomy places the organism in Eukaryota, Metazoa, Tardigrada, Eutardigrada, Parachela, Macrobiotidae.
AGGGUUUCAGAAUUUCCGCAUUUUGAAAUACGAUUUACGUAUACUCGAGGUAUACUUAAGAGUCUUUGGUUUUGAAUCCAUCACACAUUCCGAAAAAUAAUUGUUCAUUGGUAAAAACCUUAUCGUUAAUACACAGAUCGCCAUGGAAAUUCAUCAACUCCCGGAACGCGCACGGCUGCUAUCGCUCCCAUUCCUCCUUUUCCACCAGCGCAAUCCGUUGCCGUACCAAUAUGGCCGCUACCGCACGUGUUUUGUCGCCCAUAAGCCUGUUAGUUUGCGCUUUUUUUAAUUCAGGAUUUUUCAGACUGAACCUUUCGCCCGUCCUUGUCGUCUCGCCUUCGCCACGGAAGCGUUUCGUUAUCAGCACGAAUGUAACGUGAUACCUGAUGGGAACAAGGAGAAUCCGAAUGCUGCUGCUACGAUGCAGCGUUUUGCAGCGAAUAUGGUACCGUUGGACGAUGAUGUUCCCGCGCCGGUGCGGAAAGUGGCCGCUGUUCCUCUCGUUGAUCCCCGUCCGCCCAGCUACCGCAAUGGGAAAGAGCAAGCCCAGCUAACCGAUCGGUGACCACCGGCCGAGAAGUCACUCGACUCUUUUGCGAACCAAGACCGUUCUUGUGCCACUAUCUGCGAUAAGCAGCAAAUGUGGAAGCAACCGGCAACGCUCGGCUUACUCGUCUUUUUGUUAUGUUUUACGUCGUCAGUUGUCUCAUCAGUUGUAUAAUUUUUUUAGCUGAUCUUGCGCUUUUAUUGCUGAGAAUUUUCCAGAAGUUUCUGAACAGCGAGUUUUUUACGUUCAUUUGAAAUGCGUAUCCUGUGUCAAAUAGAAUGAUCAGUUUUCUGCAAACUGUGUUCGUCAAACACUUUAAUGUUUUUACAUGAAAUGUACGUUGUGGACAAUA